UUUUUUUUUUUUUUUUUUUGAGAUGGAGUCUCGCUCUGUCGCCCAGGCUGGAGUGCAGUGGCGCCAUCUCGGCUCACUGCAAGCUCCGCCUCCCAGGUUCACACUAUUCUCCUGCCUCAGUCUCCCAAGUAGCUGGGACUACAGGCGCCCGCCACCACACCCGGCUAAUUUUUCAUAUUUUUAGUAGAGACGGGGUUUCACCGUGUUAGCCAGGAUGGUCUCGAUCUCCUGACCUCAUGAUCUGCCCUCCUCGGCCUCCCAAAGUGCUGGAUUACAGGCAUGAGCCACCGCACCUGGUCAAAAUUUGAUUUUUUUAAGAGACAGAAUCUUGCUCUGUCGCCCAGGAUGGAGUGCAGUGGUGUGAUCAUGGCUCACUGCAGCCUUGAAUUGCUAGGCUUUAGCAAUCCCCAGGCCUCAGCCACUCAAGUAGCUGGGACUACAGACACCUGCCACCAUGCCUGGCUAACUUAUUUUUAUUUUGUGUUUAGAGAUGGGAUCUUGCUACAUUGCCCAGGCUAGUCUUGAACUCCUGGCCUCAAGAAAUCCUCUUGCCUUGGCCUCCCAAAGUGCUGGGAUUACAGGCAUGAGCUACUGUGCCUGGUCAAAAUUUGAAAAUAAAUACUAAGAAAGUGAAUGUCAACUCAGUGAAAAGGUAGU
This 657-nucleotide long non-coding RNA is filed under the name Homo sapiens (human). Its description in RNAcentral is "non-protein coding lnc-ELL2-2:1". Lineage: Eukaryota; Metazoa; Chordata; Mammalia; Primates; Hominidae. The record is from RNAcentral.